RNAcentral lists this ribosomal RNA (420 nucleotides) under Trichophthalma sp. LRC-2002. Its description in RNAcentral is "partial 16S ribosomal RNA". The record is from RNAcentral. Lineage: Eukaryota; Metazoa; Arthropoda; Insecta; Diptera; Nemestrinidae.
UUUAUCAAAAACAUGUCCUUUAGAAUUUAAUUUGAGGUCUGGUCUGCCCACUGAGGUGAUUUAAAUGGCCGCAGUAUUUUAACUGUGCAAAGGUAGCAUAAUCAUUAGUCUUUUAAUUAAGGGCUUGUAUGAAUGAUUUGACAAGAUAUAAAUUGUUUCAUAAAUAUUUAUAGAAUUUAAUUUUUUAGUUAAAAAGCUAAAAUUUUAUUAAAAGACGAGAAGACCCUAUAGAUCUUUAUAAUUAAUAAAUUUUAUAUAUAAAGUAUAAAUAGUAUAUAAUUUAUUGUAUUAUUUUAUUGGGGUGAUAGUAAGAUUAGUUUAACUUUUAUAUUUUAUAAACCAUAGAUUAAUGAUUNAAUGAUCCAUUAUUAUUGAUUAUUAAAAUAAGUUACCUUAGGGAUAACAGCGUAAUUUUCUUGG